GAUGAACGCUGGCGGCGUGCCUAAUACAUGCAAGUCGAGCGAACAGACGAGGAGCUUGCUCCUCUUACGUUAGCGGCGGAUGGGUGAGUAACACGUGGAUAACCUAUCUAUAAGACUGGGAUAACGUCGGGAAACCGGAUCUAAUACCGGAUAAUAUAUUGAACCGCAUGGUUCAAUAGUGAAAGACGGUUUUGCUGUCACUUAUAGAUGGAUCCGCGCCGCAUUAGCUAGUUGGUAAGGUAACGGCUUACCAAGGCUACGAUGCGUAGCCGACCUGAGAGGGUGAUCGGCCACACUGGAACUGAGACACGGUCCAGACUCCUACGGGAGGCAGCAGUAGGGAAUCUUCCGCAAUGGGCGAAAGCUUGACGGAGCAACGCCGCGUGAGUGAUGAAGGUCUUCGGAUCGUAAAACUCUGUUAUUAGGGAAGAACAAAUGUGUAAGUAACUAUGCACGUCUUGACGGUACCUAAUCAGAAAGCCACGGCUAACUACGUG
This 497-nucleotide ribosomal RNA is filed under the name uncultured bacterium. Its description in RNAcentral is "partial 16S ribosomal RNA". It matches the Rfam family "Bacterial small subunit ribosomal RNA", at positions 28 to 507 of the family's 1533-position model. The record is from RNAcentral.